Molecule: long non-coding RNA, 1751 nt
Filed under: Parus major (Great Tit)
Lineage: Eukaryota; Metazoa; Chordata; Aves; Passeriformes; Paridae
Description: lncRNA (ENSPMJG00000000326.1)
Source: RNAcentral
ACCGCCCCAAGCCGCCCUCACGGCCCGAGGGCCGGCAGCGGGAACGGGAGCGGGAGCGGCGCCGGAACGGCCGUCAUGACGUCACCGCGCGGCGCUCGCCGAUGGCGUCACUGCGCGGCUCCGCCUCGUCCCUGGCCGGCAGUGACCGCCAGGGGGCGCCCGAGAGCCGCCUCAGAGCUCUGGGACGGCCCCCGGUAUCCCUCAGAGCUCACAAAGCCUCGGGAUCCCCGCAGGAGCCCCGCAGACCCCCAUGGAGCGUCAGAGCCAUCACACCCCCGGCGCCCCUGAGAGCCCUCAGACCCCUGGGAACCCUCAGGCCCCUCAGACCUUCGGGACCCCUCAGAGCUCUGGGACUCCCUGAGGUGCCUUGGAGUUCUCAGGGAUCCCUGGGGUGCCUCAGAUCCCCCAGACCUGCCAGAACCCCCCAGGGCAUCUCAGACUCUCGGGGCUCCUCAGAGCUCUCAGGCUCUCACGGCCCUCUGAGAUGCCCUGGGGCAGCUCAGUCCUUCCCAGACCCCUCAGACUUCCAGGCUUCCCUGAGGUACCUUGGAUCCCUCACAACCCUGUGGUGCCUCAGACUUCUCAGACCUUCCAGGACCCUCCAGUACUCCUCAGAACCUCUGAACCCACGGGGACCCCCUGGGCCCCCCCGGACCCUUCAGCCCUCCGAAACAACUGUGCCUUUGGGCCAGUCAGGCGUUCUCUCAGGUGUCCCUGCGGGCUGAGAGGAGCCCUUUGCUCAUUGAGGACAAGGGCAGAGGGACCCCGUGGGUGUGCUAAGUGUCAUCAAGGACCGUCUGCUCCUCCGCAGCGCGCUGAGAAGGGACAGAGCUUUGGGUGGAAACUGGAUGGGAAGAGAAUGUUCCAUGUCAGAGCUGCACAAUUGCCUGUGUCCUCCUCUCCUGGGAGUGGGGAUGCCUUCCCUGUCCACGGACAUGCUGGGACAGUGUCUGUCAGUGCCCUCUCCAACCUUGGCUGGACAGGCAGUUAUGGCCCCAAGAGAUGUGUAGGACUGCUGAGGACUUCUGAGGACAGGAGUGCUUGUAUUCCUGUGGGGCAUCACCUGGCUGUAAGCCUCGGCCAAACAAGGCAGGACAGUUUGUUCCUGCUCCUACGGUCCUUGCCCUGAUGCUCUGUCACUUGAUUUCUUCAGAGGACAACUGACUUUGCUCUUAUGUGAACUUGUGUUCAUCAAGUUGUUUGGAAAAUACUAUCCUUGAGUGCUGAAAGGCAUUCCUGUGUUGGCAAGCGUAAAAUCCAUGGUAGCUGAAGUGUUUGAAUACUUCCAAGCUCCCACACCAGGCCCACAGCCACACUGUAUUAUUUUGGGUGAGAGCUGUGCUCUAAAGGCUCUUUUUGAUGAGAUCUCAAAUUCUGAGUUCUGUUACUCGCAUGGGUGCUAAGCCUGUAGUUUGAAGAUCUCAUACCUGGUUCUGUGCUCUGGGCUUUCAGAAGGAAUUGUCUUCAAGCAGAAAAUCCUGGGGAAAUUUGCAGUUUUGCAAAACUGCAGUUGCAGUUUUGAAACAGAAUAUUUUGUCAAAAUCAAAUUUAUUUCAACGAGGAACAAUCACUCUAAUGGCUGAGAAGAAUGCAAAGAUUCAAUGAGGUAUGAAUAGCUGUAAGAUGGUACAAUUACCACCUCAGAAACAAUAUAUUUGUAAAGUUAAUUCCUCUUGAACAUGAACAAUCUCCUUACACUUGACCCCUCUCUAUUGCCUCUUCCAUGCUUGAACUCUCCUUGAACUUUGUAG